AGGCGUAGUCGAUGGGAAACAGGUUAAUAUUCCUGUACUUGGUGUUACUGCGAAGGGGGGACGGAGAAGGCUAUGUUGGCCGGGCGACGGUUGUCCCGGUUUAAGCGUGUAGGCUGGUUUUCCAGGCAAAUCCGGAAAAUCAAGGCUGAGGCGUGAUGACGAGGCACUACGGUGCUGAAGCAACAAAUGCCCUGCUUCCAGGAAAAGCCUCUAAGCAUCAGGUAACAUCAAAUCGUACCCCAAACCGACACAGGUGGUCAGGUAGAGAAUACCAAGGCGCUUGAGAGAACUCGGGUGAAGGAACUAGGCAAAAUGGUGCCGUAACUUCGGGAGAAGGCACGCUGAUAUGUAGGUGAAGUCCCUCGCGGAUGGAGCUGAAAUCAGUCGAAGAUACCAGCUGGCUGCAACUGUUUAUUAAAAACACAGCACUGUGCAAACACGAAAGUGGACGUAUACGGUGUGACGCCUGCCCGGUGC
This 477-nucleotide ribosomal RNA is filed under the name Escherichia coli. RNAcentral describes it as "partial 23S ribosomal RNA". It matches the Rfam family "Bacterial large subunit ribosomal RNA", at positions 1407 to 1869 of the family's 2925-position model. Lineage: Bacteria; Pseudomonadati; Pseudomonadota; Gammaproteobacteria; Enterobacterales; Enterobacteriaceae. The record is from RNAcentral.